UGAGUGCUGCCGUGCCGAGUAAGCAGUCUGGCCGAGGCUGCAGUGCAGCCCGUGUGGGGCUCCUGGCCUCGCGCCAUGCUCGCCAACACUCCGAAUUAAUCCAGUGUGGACCCUCAGCAGGCAGCACAGAACACUGAGUUGCUGACGAACUCUUGGGUCUUUCAGAAAUCUCCAAGCCUCUGCAGUGCAACAGACGCUCUCUUGCAGACCGACAAUCAUGAGUUUUUCUUCAAGCUUCCUGCUGCAGAAUUGAACUGACAGAAACGAUGGAGGAUCCCCAGAGGGUUAACAUCUGGGUGCCUGCACAGGCCAGGGCGAUGGGGAGCCACAGCAAAUAUUCGACAUUCCUUCCGCCUGAUGUUGGAUAGAAGUGGUUUAUUAACAUGGAGUCUCCUUUAACAAAAGGAGUCCGGCGAGCCUCCUUGUAUAUUUUUUUUGUUUUUGUUUCCUAAAUUGUGUAUAUUCUCAUUUUUAUGGUAUGUGGUAAAAAUGAAAUAUGACUCUGGGGCCGUUUGCCUCCCCGUCUGUGUGGUUUUUUUAAUACUCUGAUAGAAACGCUCGGGACUCUAAGCCUUGAUGAUAAGUUCAUGCUCUCGGGAGGACACAAAAUAGCGCCGAACGCCACAAAGCACCUUGCGACAGAGCUGACAGAUUUGGAGCUGUACAGACCGGCACGUCUGCAUCGUUUACAACCUCCACAGGGCCGAGAAAACCUGCAGCAGCAUGUCAUCCACUUGUCCACUACCUACAGAAGCAGGAUCCUAUUUCCCCCCCCCCCACCCCCUCUGGUGUUCGUACUGUUGUGUUUUUCCACAGACUCUCCAAGACUUCAGUAUUAAACCUGUUCCAAUAUUAUGUCUUACAGUCACUAUGCUAAUGGCAAAUACACCAUGAAGGUGAAAUAAGUGGUAAAAUCUUUAUUCCCAUAAACCAGGUACAUACUUUUCCAGCACACACCCUGACACUAAACUGUCAGAAUUCAUCAGUCAGUCAGUUUCUCUUUUUUUUUUUUUUUUUCUUCAGAUUACAGAUUCACCUUUAACCUACAGCAACUGGUCUUGUCUUCACACACUAAACUACUGAAACCAAUCUUCUCAAACUCAACAGUAUUUACUGAGGCUAAGAGUCCCCAAUUCCCACGCAGUUACUAGACGCUUUGUAGUACAUAGUAACACUUUUUUUUUAACCUUGCUUUGAUUAAUUUUCAUUUUUGGCUUUUUUCGUUUUAAUUUUUUUCCUUUGCCAGUGUAUUAAAGUGUAAUCAUGUGCGUUGUGAUAUAGAAGUAGCUGUAGAAACCGCAUUGUUUCCUUGUGGUAAGUGAUUGAGAUGCUGCCACGGAUUUGAGACACUGAUGAAUGGUGCUAUUUUGGACUUUAAUCUGCUCCUUGGUGAGGUAGCCAAGAUGGUUUUUAUUUCAUAUCUCUUCACGUCUGGAGAAGGUGUUUGGUUCUUUGUUGUAUGGUUGUUGUAACUUGGUCUGGAUUGACCCCCUCCCCCCCUCCCCCUCAAUCCCUCCCUUUAUCUCUCCUCUCUCCUCCCACUGUCGUUUCUGUGCGGCUUUCUCUUUGGAAUAAACAAAAAAAUAAUUAACUAAAAGAAUGCACACCAACAAAGUAAGGUGAUCAAAGUGAUUGCCAAAAAAAAAAAAAAACAGUGGGAGCAAUCACAAAACUGCAGUUAUUAAUGUUUUCCCUUAAAGGUCGAGAGCUGAUCUGUUGGAUUAGUUGCACUUACUGGCACUAGGUAAUUUGGCAGCGGAAAAAUAGCAUACCAUCUGGGAAUUUUUUUUUUCUUCUUGAUCGUACUAUCAAGAACCUGUCUCUAGGAAUGUAUUUAGCACUUAAGAUAUGCAUAGCAAGGGAACUUUGAGCAGAGAGUUGGCUUCUUUUGAGGUGUCUUUUGCUUAAUAAAGUAUGUAAAUAUAUGUUCACCCAGGUAAAGGCACCACUGACAGCCUUUUUUGUAGGACAACUCCAAUAAUCAUACUGUCCAUGGUUAGAUUGGUCCAAUGAUACCAAUCAGCUAAAUGGCAUUCACCAGCUGAAAAUCAGAUGCUUCUAGCAGCCCCUCACAUCUCACAGCACACAAUCUGAUCAUGUUCAAUCCUAAAAUGAAAAUGUAGCACUGAUGAAUUAGUGUUCAUCAAUUUUUUUUUGUUUUCUUUAAGACUAGUGGAUUUGUGAAUGACGUGUCUCCCCUUGAGGUUUUAUUUUUAUUUCGGGUAAUUCUGUAUUUGCAGUUUUGUCUUUGCUUCCAGUUUAAAAUAUAUUUUGAAGAAGAAAAAAAAUCCCAAUUCAACGGCCAACUUGAAAGCCCACUUUAGUUUCUUUUGUCUUCCUUUUUUUAUUUCCUCUCCGCUAUAGUUGGAAUCUUCCCAGCUUGCUCUAGAUCUUCCCUAGUGCAUCAGCUGCAUGUUUUCUGCUUUGAUUCAUUUACAUCUUGACUGUUUGCAUUUUUCUCUCACAGGCUAGGUAUUCUAGCUUCUGUAAAUAGCUUAGCUUUAGAUAGGGUCUGAUGUACUAUGUUGAAAUACUAUAAUAACUUGAUGUAAAAAGCAAAGAAGAAGAAAAAAAAACAGUUUGUGAUCAAUAAUGAAGCACUCGGUAUUGUAUAAGUAAUUUUGACAAUUUAAGCAGUAGAACAAUAAACAUGCAAGCUCUCCA
Silurus meridionalis is the source of this 2664-nucleotide long non-coding RNA. RefSeq lists it as uncharacterized. The record is from RefSeq and is a predicted model, not a curated record. NCBI's taxonomy places the organism in Eukaryota, Metazoa, Chordata, Actinopteri, Siluriformes, Siluridae. The transcript is spliced from 4 exons.